GAUGAACGCUGGCGGCGUGCCUAAUACAUGCAAGUCGAGCGAACAGACGAGGAGCUUGCUCCUCUGACGUUAGCGGCGGACGGGUGAGUAACACGUGGAUAACCUACCUAUAAGACUGGGAUAACUUCGGGAAACCGGAGCUAAUACCGGAUAAUAUAUUGAACCGCAUGGUUCAAUAGUGAAAGACGGUUUUGCUGUCACUUAUAGAUGGAUCCGCGCCGCAUUAGCUAGUUGGUAAGGUAACGGCUUACCAAGGCAACGAUGCGUAGCCGACCUGAGAGGAUGAUCGGCCACACUGGAGCUGAGACACGGUCCAGACUCCUACGGGAGGCAGCAGUAGGGAAUCUUCCGCAAUGGGCGAAAGCUUGACGGAGCAACGCCGCGUGAGUGAUGAAGGUCUUCGGAUCGUAAAACUCUGUUAUUAGGGAAGAACAAAUGUGUAAGUAACUAUGCACGUCUUGACGGUACCUAAUCAGAAAGCCACGGCUAACUACGUG
RNAcentral lists this ribosomal RNA (497 nucleotides) under uncultured bacterium. RNAcentral's name for it is "partial 16S ribosomal RNA". It matches the Rfam family "Bacterial small subunit ribosomal RNA", at positions 28 to 507 of the family's 1533-position model. The record is from RNAcentral.